UCCCUCUUAGCUCAGUGGUAGAGCGCGUCACUAGUAUACAAAUCCAAGUACAUGACGAGGUCAGUCGUUCAAGUCGGCUAGAGGGAA
This is a transfer RNA of Termitomyces sp. J132, 87 nucleotides long. It matches the Rfam family "tRNA". Rfam says of the family: Transfer RNA (tRNA) molecules are approximately 80 nucleotides in length. Lineage: Eukaryota; Fungi; Basidiomycota; Agaricomycetes; Agaricales; Lyophyllaceae. The record is from Rfam.